RNAcentral lists this transfer RNA (86 nucleotides) under Chloroflexi bacterium GWC2_73_18. Its description in RNAcentral is "tRNA-Ser". It matches the Rfam family "tRNA". Rfam says of the family: Transfer RNA (tRNA) molecules are approximately 80 nucleotides in length. Their secondary structure includes four short double-helical elements and three loops (D, anti-codon, and T loops). The record is from RNAcentral. Lineage: Bacteria; Bacillati; Chloroflexota.
GGAGAGGUGUCCGAGUGGUUGAUGGUGCCGCUCUCGAAAAGCGGUGAGCGAAAGCUCCGUGGGUUCGAAUCCCACCCUCUCCGCCA